This 408-nucleotide ribosomal RNA is filed under the name Triticum aestivum (bread wheat). RNAcentral's name for it is "partial small subunit ribosomal RNA". Lineage: Eukaryota; Viridiplantae; Streptophyta; Magnoliopsida; Poales; Poaceae. The record is from RNAcentral.
AUGUACUCCCUCCGUCCGGGAAAAGUUGUCUUCGUGGCAAUUUUAGGAAAACCUCCUCGGUGUAUUCCCGACAAACGACACACUCCCCCACCUCCGCUCCUCUCCCCGCCGGUUCCCCUGCUUGUCUCCUCCCUUGUCGGAGCCCUCUGCUCGGCUCCCCAAGAAGCUGUUGCUGGCGUCGCCGGAGAUUCCCCGCGCAAGAAGAUCCCUGCUCUGCUACCCCUCCUUGCUCCCCUCCUCCUCCGCCGCGUUGCUUCCCCGGCUAGGAGAAGCAUCGAUUUUUCCGACCUCCUCCGACAGAAGCCGCAGCUGCCCUACUCCACCACCGCCACAGCUUGUCGCCGCCAUAACUACCUCCUCCGCGGCUCUCUCCUGCUCGCGCAGCUCCAGCUUGCCUUCCUCCCCUAG